Molecule: ribosomal RNA, 1408 nt
Filed under: Staphylococcus aureus
Lineage: Bacteria; Bacillati; Bacillota; Bacilli; Caryophanales; Staphylococcaceae
Description: partial 23S ribosomal RNA
Rfam family: Bacterial large subunit ribosomal RNA
Source: RNAcentral
UAUGUGAAUACAUAGCAUAUCAGAAGGCACACCCGGAGAACUGAAACAUCUUAGUACCCGGAGGAAGAGAAAGAAAAUUCGAUUCCCUUAGUAGCGGCGAGCGAAACGGGAAGAGCCCAAACCAAAAAGCUUGCUUGUUGGGGUUGUAGGACACUCUAUACGGAGUUACAAAGGACGACAUUAGACGAAUCAUCUGGAAAGAUGAAUCAAAGAAGGUAAUAAUCCUGUAGUCGAAAAUGUUGUCUCUCUUGAGUGGAUCCUGAGUACGACGGAGCACGUGAAAUUCCGUCGGAAUCUGGGAGGACCAUCUCCUAAGGCUAAAUACUCUCUAGUGACCGAUAGUGAACCAGUACCGUGAGGGAAAGGUGAAAAGCACCCCGGAAGGGGAGUGAAAUAGAACCUGAAACCGUGUGCUUACAAGUAGUCAGAGCCCGUUAAUGGGUGAUGGCGUGCCUUUUGUAGAAUGAACCGGCGAGUUACGAUUUGAUGCAAGGUUAAGCAGUAAAUGUGGAGCCGUAGCGAAAGCGAGUCUGAAUAGGGCGUUUAGUAUUUGGUCGUAGACCCGAAACCAGGUGAUCUACCCUUGGUCAGGUUGAAGUUCAGGUAACACUGAAUGGAGGACCGAACCGACUUACGUUGAAAAGUGAGCGGAUGAACUGAGGGUAGCGGAGAAAUUCCAAUCGAACCUGGAGAUAGCUGGUUCUCUCCGAAAUAGCUUUAGGGCUAGCCUCAAGUGAUGAUUAUUGGAGGUAGAGCACUGUUUGGACGAGGGGCCCCUCUCGGGUUACCGAAUUCAGACAAACUCCGAAUGCCAAUUAAUUUAACUUGGGAGUCAGAACAUGGGUGAUAAGGUCCGUGUUCGAAAGGGAAACAGCCCAGACCACCAGCUAAGGUCCCAAAAUAUAUGUUAAGUGGAAAAGGAUGUGGCGUUGCCCAGACAACUAGGAUGUUGGCUUAGAAGCAGCCAUCAUUUAAAGAGUGCGUAAUAGCUCACUAGUCGAGUGACACUGCGCCGAAAAUGUACCGGGGCUAAACAUAUUACCGAAGCUGUGGAUUGUCCUUUGGACAAUGGUAGGAGAGCGUUCUAAGGGCGUUGAAGCAUGAUCGUAAGGACAUGUGGAGCGCUUAGAAGUGAGAAUGCCGGUGUGAGUAGCGAAAGACGGGUGAGAAUCCCGUCCACCGAUUGACUAAGGUUUCCAGAGGAAGGCUCGUCCGCUCUGGGUUAGUCGGGUCCUAAGCUGAGGCCGACAGGCGUAGGCGAUGGAUAACAGGUUGAUAUUCCUGUACCACCUAUAAUCGUUUUAAUCGAUGGGGGGACGCAGUAGGAUAGGCGAAGCGUGCGAUUGGAUUGCACGUCUAAGCAGUAAGGCUGAGUAUUAGGCAAAUCCGGUACUCGUUAAGGCUGAGC